AACGGCCGUACCAUGCUGAAUAUACCGGUUCUCGUUAGAUCACUGAAGUCAAGCAUCAUUGGGCGCGGUCAGUACUUGGGUGGGUGACCACCUGGGAACACUGCGUGC
RNAcentral lists this ribosomal RNA (108 nucleotides) under Caerostris darwini. The record is from RNAcentral. Lineage: Eukaryota; Metazoa; Arthropoda; Arachnida; Araneae; Araneidae.